This 88-nucleotide transfer RNA is filed under the name Bordetella hinzii. RNAcentral describes it as "tRNA-Thr(ggt)". Lineage: Bacteria; Pseudomonadati; Pseudomonadota; Betaproteobacteria; Burkholderiales; Alcaligenaceae. The record is from RNAcentral. RNAcentral also lists the same sequence under 4 other names.
GGUCGCCCUGGCGGGCGCCGUCCAGCUGCUGGUGGCCGCUUCGGUGCACUUCGGCAACGGUUGGGGUUUCGGCAACCCCGGCGGCGGC